RNAcentral lists this transfer RNA (73 nucleotides) under Marmota monax (woodchuck). It matches the Rfam family "tRNA". From Rfam's summary of the family: Transfer RNA (tRNA) molecules are approximately 80 nucleotides in length. Their secondary structure includes four short double-helical elements and three loops (D, anti-codon, and T loops). Further hydrogen bonds mediate the characteristic L-shaped molecular structure. tRNAs have two regions of fundamental functional importance: the anti-codon, which is responsible for specific mRNA codon recognition, and the 3' end, to which the tRNAs corresponding amino acid is attached (by aminoacyl-tRNA synthetases). tRNAs cope with the degeneracy of the genetic code in two manners: having more than one tRNA (with a specific anti-codon) for a particular amino acid; and 'wobble' base-pairing, i.e. permitting non-standard base-pairing at the 3rd anti-codon position. Lineage: Eukaryota; Metazoa; Chordata; Mammalia; Rodentia; Sciuridae. The record is from Rfam by way of RNAcentral.
GGGGUUAUAGCUCAGUUGGUAGAGUGUUUUCCUCACAUGCACAAGGCCCUGGGUUCAAUCCCCAGUACCACCC